Molecule: long non-coding RNA, 1117 nt
Filed under: Zonotrichia albicollis (white-throated sparrow)
Lineage: Eukaryota; Metazoa; Chordata; Aves; Passeriformes; Passerellidae
Description: lncRNA (ENSZALG00000006601.1)
Source: RNAcentral
AAGAUACUGGGUAGCUUUUCCAGCUGCUCAGAAAAAUGGUGUUCCUUGUGUUUUGCCUAGACACAGGCAAGAAGAAAAGAGAAGAAAACUGUCUGAUGUACAGAUUGAUGCAGCAAUAUGAGAAACAUCAUGCCUGCUAUGUCACACAGGUUGGUACUUUUAAAAUUAGCAAUAACACAUGAAUAACACAGGUUAUUGAUGAGGUACAAAUUCCUCAUCAAUUUUGUAUGUGAUCCAUCAAACUGACGUAUGGAUAUAACCUAUGGCUCACUGUCUCCCUCAAGUGGAUGAUACAAGAAAAGGGAUUUGUUUCUUUUAGAGAGAUUUUUUGUUUUUAUUCCAUCCUGCUUUGACUCAUUCUUCUGUUUGAAGGGACAUGGCUUGAUACAUGCAGUCAGCUUCACCAAGAAUAUGAGUAUACAAGGUCAUUAUUAAAAGAUGUGAAAAGGCAACAUUUGGGAGGAUAAUUCUUUCUUUGCCCAUGAGAUGUACCAAAAAUCUUUGUCAUAGCAGGAGACAGAUUUCCUGAAAGGCCACACAAUAUUGUUCACAACUGCAAGAGGGUAAAAAAAAAAAAUUAAAACAAUGGCUGGCAGAUAGAACUCAGUUGUCUGCAAUCUGAAAUCCCAAAGGUUUUCUUCACUGUUUUCUGUGGCAGGGCACAAGCUGUGAACCACACAUCUUGAACAAAUGUCAGUACUCAGAUUUGGGUCAUUAAAUUGGACAGAAUCUGUUUAGGGUUGCUAAGCCACAGCAUCCAGAAUCCCUAAAAUAUAGUUGUUUCUGUUGGUUGGGGGUCUUUGUAGAUCUGACAUUUUAAAAAAUAUUUGAUGGAAACUCUUUUGAAAGAUCUUAAAUUCUGUCAGUGUGUGUGUUAUCAUAGCUGACCUAAUGGAAGGACAAAGCAGGAAAGAAAAAAGUAUUAAAUAUUCAGAUUUACUGGGUACUAGUGAUAGAUUUCUGUGGGGGAAGGAUGAAUCUGUCAUCCUUUGGUAAUUUAAUUUUGCAAGGCUUAAAGGAAUUAGGCUACAAGUUUACAUUACUCCUAACUCUGAGGUGUAAAUGCAUCUAAUGGGAAUAUAAUAAACACAGAUAAUUUCAUUUAAAAGGUUAAAAA